GGGCUCUCUUUGGCAAUACAUAUACUAAAACUGGAAUGAUACAGAGAAGGUUAGCAUGGUCCCUGCACAAGGAUGACACACAAACUCAUGAAACAUUCCAUAUUUGU
This 107-nucleotide small nuclear RNA is filed under the name Chinchilla lanigera (long-tailed chinchilla). Lineage: Eukaryota; Metazoa; Chordata; Mammalia; Rodentia; Chinchillidae. The record is from RNAcentral.